GGAGGUGACUGUGGCUCAGUGGAAAGAGCAAUCGUCUUGAACUAUGAAAGUUGUGGGUUUGAUUCCUGCUUCCUCCU
This is a non-coding RNA of Ataeniobius toweri, 77 nucleotides long. The record is from the annotation of a GenBank genome assembly. Lineage: Eukaryota; Metazoa; Chordata; Actinopteri; Cyprinodontiformes; Goodeidae.